RNAcentral lists this small RNA (544 nucleotides) under Pongo abelii (Sumatran orangutan). RNAcentral describes it as "processed transcript". Lineage: Eukaryota; Metazoa; Chordata; Mammalia; Primates; Hominidae. The record is from RNAcentral.
GAAAGUGGGCUUCUGGGCCAUCUCGCAUAUUCUCAAAGGCCGUGCGUGAACCACCACGCCCAGCCUGGUUUAUUCAUAAUCUUUGUCUUCCUAAUGAAAUGGUAAACUCCUCCAGGCAACCAGGAUACUAUGUGUCUAAAGCCUUUUUAUGACCCCAUAGUGCCAAAUUGUAGCUUUCAGUAGAUCCUUGUGGAUUUUAGUUGCCAGGCAGUUCUUGUCCAGAUGACUCUGAUUACCUUGCCAGUUACCACUGGCACUUCCAAAGUCAGCCUAGGGCCAGAUGAAAGAAUGGAGUAAAUCAAGUGGGCACCAGGAAAUGACAGCACCAGGGGUAACCCUGAAGGUCUGACGAUCUUUCAUAUUUUGUAAGUGAAAAAACCUGAAGCCCAGAGAAGUUAGGCAUUUGUGGAAGGUCACACGGCAAGGAGGUGGCAUGCAUGAUAUCACUUGAUCCUGACCUUCCCUGUCACUGACAGAAAUAGAGGUGAAUGGAGCAGGACAGUCAGGCUCUGCAGAGACCACUCUUAGAAGUCUUUCUAGAGCU